Molecule: ribosomal RNA, 441 nt
Filed under: Goffeauzyma gastrica
Lineage: Eukaryota; Fungi; Basidiomycota; Tremellomycetes; Filobasidiales; Filobasidiaceae
Description: LSU rRNA
Rfam family: Eukaryotic large subunit ribosomal RNA
Source: RNAcentral
CCCUUGGAACAGGGCGUCAUAGAGGGUGAGAAUCCCGUACUUGACAUGAAUUACCAGUGCUCUGUGAUACAUUUUCAAAGAGUCGAGUUGUUUGGGAAUGCAGCUCAAAAUGGGUGGUAAAUUCCAUCUAAAGCUAAAUAUUGGCGAGAGACCGAUAGCGAACAAGUACCGUGAGGGAAAGAUGAAAAGCACUUUGGAAAGAGAGUUAAACAGUAUGUGAAAUUGUUAAAAGGGAAACGAUUGAAGUCAAUCAUGUCCUUGGGUCUUACCACCCUUGGAUGGGGUCAACAUCAGUUUUGAUCGGUGGAUAAGGAUAGGAGGAAGGUAGCACUCUCGGGUGAACUUAUAGCCUCCUGUCGCAUACACUGGUUGAGACUGAGGUCUGCUAUUACAGGAUGUUGACAUAAUGGCUUUAAACGACCCGUCUUGAAACACGGACCA